AGUGGGAGCUGGGGCAGUCCCCCAGAUCUAAAUUGCUAUGCCACCCACUAGCUCAAUGUAAAUAAAAAUGUGAAUAGAGCUUACAUUCCCAGAGGGCAAGGAUCUGGUCCUUUAGUAUAGCAACUAGCACAGGGCACUGUACACGGUACGCAUUCUACAAAGAUUUCUUCAGUCUUGGAAAGAAACCAAGAAGGAAGGGAUUGAAAUGAAUAGGAGAAAGAAGAGAGCUUGCUUCUGGACUGUUCAUGGAUAAAGGUCCGCCGUGACUGAAGGUCUCAAAACAAUGUACCUCAGAUUCUCAAGAAUUCUCCAGAUGGAGAGAAACAUCACCAUCCCUGGCCUGAGUGUCCACCUUCCUGCGGUGUGAAUACUUUGAAGGAAAUGGAAUUGCUUGGAGGAGGCUGGGGUAUUUAACCUGGAGAAGAGAAGGCUGAGGAUGGAUAAGACAGCUGUUUUCAAGUAUUUAAAGGACUGGCAUAUGGAGCAAGAAGCAAAUUUGUUCCAUCUCACCCCAGAAGACAGGACCAGGAACAAUGAGUAGAUGUUACAAAGAGGCCAGACCGGAUAUCAUGAAAACUUCCUAUUCAUCCUAACUAUUAAUUAGAGCUGCCCAAAAGUAGGACGGACAGAGUUCCCUUCCUUUGAGAUCUUUAAGCAGGGACUGGGUGGCCAUUUGCACAGUGUGUUAGUAGUAAGGAUUCCUUCCAUUUAAAUGUUGGACUAGGAGCCUGCUGAAGUUCUGUCCAGCUCUCACAUUCUGUGAUUCAUAGAGCUCAUCAGUUUUCAGAAUCUGAAAGAAACCCAGAGGUCAUUCUAGUCCAAACCAUAGCCAACCUAUGACUUGUUGGUGUAUUUGUUAGAAAGCAGUAUUUGAAGGUCAUAUCCCUGUGACACUUUUUGGAUAGAAUUAAAAACAAAACUAAGAUGAA
Molecule: long non-coding RNA, 929 nt
Organism: Phascolarctos cinereus (koala)
Lineage: Eukaryota; Metazoa; Chordata; Mammalia; Diprotodontia; Phascolarctidae
Source: RefSeq, a predicted model, not a curated record